RNAcentral lists this ribosomal RNA (508 nucleotides) under uncultured Sclerocystis. RNAcentral describes it as "SSU rRNA". It matches the Rfam family "Eukaryotic small subunit ribosomal RNA", at positions 569 to 1078 of the family's 1831-position model. The record is from RNAcentral. Lineage: Eukaryota; Fungi; Glomeromycota; Glomeromycetes; Glomerales; Glomeraceae.
AGCAGCCGCGGUAAUUCCAGCUCCAAUAGCGUAUAUUAAAGUUGUUGCAGUUAAAAAGCUCGUAGUUGAAUUUCGGGGUUAGUAGGUCGGUCGUGCCACUGGUAUGCACUGGUUCUACUGAUCCCUCCUUCUUGUAGAACCGUAAUGCCAUUAAUUUGGUGUUGCGGGGAAACAGGACUGUUACUUUGAAAAAAUUAGAGUGUUUAAAGCAGGCUAACGCUUGAAUACAUUAGCAUGGAAUAAUGAAAUAGGACGAUCGAUCCUAUUUUGUUGGCUUCUAGGAUUGACGUAAUGAUUAAUAGGGAUAGUUGGGGGCAUUAGUAUUCAAUUGUCAGAGGUGAAAUUCUUGGAUUUAUUGAAGACUAACUACUGCGAAAGCAUUUGCCAAGGAUGUUUUCAUUAAUCAAGAACGAAAGUUAGGGGAUCGAAGACGAUCAGAUACCGUCGUAGUCUUAACCAUAAACUAUGCCGACUAGGGAUCGGAUGAUGUUAAUUUUUUAAUGACUCA